UGCAAAUAAACCUGAUACCUUUUAUGGAUAUGUGAAUACCUAUAAACUGGUUUAUAUGAAUCUCAAACAUAUAAGCAGGUA
Molecule: small RNA, 81 nt
Filed under: human gut metagenome
Description: Bacteroides-1 RNA
Rfam family: Bacteroides-1 RNA
Source: RNAcentral